AUGCCUUAUUACACUGAGUUGUUAGAGAGAGAAAAGGAAGGUAUUGCAGGUAUACUGUCAGAUGUGGUCACCCAAAGACAGAACAUGGAAAAUCAGUGGAAGCAAGGGUUUGAGUUGGAAAAACAAGAUCUUGAAAAACUGAAAGCAGUGCUGAAGCAAGAGAGAGAGGAUCUGGACAGAGUGAAUGAGAUCAUGAACAAAGAAGGAUUGGACUUAGAGCUGAUGAGAUCUGAAAUUCAGGAACAAAGUAAAUUAUUAGAAAAGGAGAAAAAGGAGAUAAAAGAGGGAAGACACAAGUUGGACAUCACAAAAGCUGAGCUAGAAAAGAAGAAAGAACAUGCAGACAGUCUGUUUGAUGAGAUAGACACAGAGAAGGCCAACAUUAAACAUCUGACCCUUCAAGUUCAGACAAAAAGAAACAAACUUGAACGUGUCAUGAACAUGAUUACCUUGAAACAACAAGAACAAGAACUCAAGGAAGAUGAGUUAACAAAACGAAAACAAGAACUGGUAAUGAGUAAGAACACUGUGCUAAAAGAAAGAGGAGAACUGGAUGUUUUGAGGAAGGAUCUGAACAAAAAGAAAGAAGAGGUUGAAGCUGCCAUGAACAGCAUCACUAGAGAGAGAGAACAACUCAGUAAAAUGAAGACUGACAAUGAGAAAGAGAAAGAAAUGAUUUUAAUUGAAAAGGACAGAAUAGAAGGCCAAUGCUCUGAACUGAAGAUGAGACAAGAUCAACUCGUGAAUGAAAUGAAAUCAAUACAAACUCUAAGAAGGAAGCUUCAACAGCUUAACGAAAGGAUCAUUGAAGACAUGAAAAACAAAAUGGACAAUUUGCAACAAAGGUCUGAAGAUGUGCAAAUGCUGUACACUGUAUUGGAAGAAAAGGUGGCAGACCUUGAUGGUGAAAAAGAAAAAAUGGCUUAUUACACUGAGUUGUUAGAGAGAGAAAAGGAAGUUAUUGCAGGUAUACUGUCAGAUGUGGUCACCCAAAGACAGGACAUGGAAAAUCAGUGUAAGCAAGGGUUUGAGUUGGAAAAACAAGAUCUUGAAAAACUGAAAGCAAUGCUGAAGCAAGAGAGAGGGGAUCUGGAUAGAGUGCAUGAGAUCAUGACCAAAGAAAGAUUGGACUUAGAGCUGAUGAGAUCUGAAAUUCAGGAACAAAGUAAAUUAUUAGAAAAGGAGAAAAAGGAGAUAAAAGAGGGAAGACACAAGUUGGACAGCACAAAAGCUGAGCUAGAAAAGAAGAAAGAACAUGCAGACAGUCUGUUUGAUGAGAUAGACACAGAGAAGGCCAACAUUAAACAUCUGACCCUUCAAGUUCAGACAAAAAGAAACCAACUUGAACAUGUCAUGAACAUGAUAACCUUAAAACAACAAGAACAAGAACUCAAGGAAGAUGAGUUAACAAAACGAAAACAAGAACUGGUAAUGAAUAAGAACACUGUGCUAACAGAAAGAGGAGAGCUGGAUGUUUUGAGGAAGGAUCUGAACAAAAAGAAAGAAGAGGUUGAAGCUGCCAUGAACAGCAUCACUAGAGAGAGAGAACAACUCAGUAAAAUGAAGACUGACAAUGAGAAAGAGAAAGAAAUGAUUUUAAUUGAAAAGGACAGAAUAGAAGUCCAAUGCUCUGAACUGAAGAUGAGACAAGAUCAACUCGUAAAUGAAAUGAAAUCAAUACAAACUCUGAGAAGGAAGCUUCAACAGCUUAACGAAAGGAUCAUUGAAGACAUGAAAAACAAAAUGGACAAUUUGCAACAAAGGUCUGAAGAUGUGCAAAUGCUGUACACUGUAUUGGAAGAAAAGGUGGCAGACCUUGAUGGUGAAAAAGAAAAAAUGGCUUAUUACACUGAGUUGUUAGAGAGAGAAAAGGAAGUUAUUGCAGGUAUACUGUCAGAUGUGGUAACCCAAAGACAGGACAUGGAGAAUCAGUGUAAGCAAGGGUUUGAGUUGGAAAAACAAGAUCUUGAAAAACUGAAAGCAGUGCUGAAGCAAGAGAGAGAGGAUCUGGAUAGAGUGCAUGAGAUCAUGACCAAAGAGAGACUGGAGCUAGAAACCAGUAAGAACAGUGUCCUUACAGAAAGAGGAGAACUGGAAGUUUUGGGGAAGGAUCUCAAAAAGAAGAAAGAAGAGGUCGACAUUGCCAUGAACAGCAUCAGUGGAGAGAGAGAACAACUCAGUAAAAUUAAGACUGACAAUGACAAAGAGAGAGAAGUACUUUUGAUUGAAAGGGACAGAAUAGAACUUGAAAGGUCUGAGGUGAAAAUAAAAGAAGAACAAGUCAUGAAGCAAAUGAAAUCAAUGGAAACUAUGAAAGUGAAGCUUCAGCGGCUGUACAAUAGGAUCAGUGAAGACAUGAAAAACAAAGUGGACAGUUUGCAACAAAACUGUGAAGGUGCGCAAAUUCUGUAUGCUACAUUGGAACAAAAGGUUGCAGCACUUGAUGGAGAAAAAGAAAAAUUGACUAAUUACACUGAGUUGUUAGAGAGAGAAAAGGAAGGUAUUGCAGGUAUACUGUCAGAUGUGGUCACCCAGAGACAGGGCAUGGAAAAUCAGUGUAAGCAAGGGUUUGAGUUGGAAAAACAAGAUCUUGAAAAACUGAAAGCAGUGCUGAAGCAAGAGAGAGAGGAUCUGGAUAGAGUGCAUGAGAUCAUGACCCAAGAGAGACUGGAGCUAGAAACCAGUAAGAACAGUGUCCUUACAGAAAGAGGAGAACUGGAAGUUUUGGGGAAGGAUCUCAAAAAGAAGAAAGAAGAGGUCGACAUUGCCAUGAACAGCAUCAGUGGAGAGAGAGAACAACUCAGUAAAAUGAAGACUGACAAUGACAAAGAGAGAGAAGUACUUUUGAUUGAAAGCGACAGAAUAGAAGUUGAAAGGUCUGAGGUGAAAAUAAAAGAAGAUCAAGUCAUGAAGCAAAUGAAAUCAAUGGAAACUAUGAAAGUGAAGCUUCAGCAACUGUACAAUAGGAUCAGUGAAGACAUGAAAAACAAAAUGGACAGUUUGCAACAAAACUGUGAAGGUGCGCAAAUUCUGUAUGCUACAUUGGAAGAAAAGGUUGCAGCACUUGAUAGAGAAAAAGAAAAAAUGGCUUAUUACACUGAGUUGUUAGAGAGAGAAAAGGAAGGUAUUGCAGGUAUACUGUCAGAUGUUGUCACCCAGAGACAGGGCAUGGAAAAUCAGUGUAAGCAAGGGUUUGAGUUGGAAAAACAAGAUCUUGAAAAACUGAAAGCAGUGCUGAAGCAAGAGAGAGGGGAUCUGGAUAGAGUGCAUGAGAUCAUGACCAAAGAAAGAUUGGACUUAGAGCUGAUGAGAUCUGAAAUUCAGGAACAAAGUAAAUUAUUAGAAAAGGAGAAAAAGGAGAUAAAAGAGGGAAGACACAAGUUGGACAGCACAAAAGCUGAGCUAGAAAAGAAGAAAGAACAUGCAGACAGUCUGUUUGAUGAGAUAGACACAGAGAAGGCCAACAUUAAACAUCUGACCCUUCAAGUUCAGACAAAAAGAAACCAACUUGAACAUGUCAUGAACAUGAUAACCUUAAAACAACAAGAACAAGAACUCAAGGAAGAUGAGUUAACAAAACGAAAACAAGAACUGGUAAUGAAUAAGAACACUGUGCUAACAGAAAGAGGAGAGCUGGAUGUUUUGAGGAAGGAUCUGAACAAAAAGAAAGAAGAGGUUGAAGCUGCCAUGAACAGCAUCACUAGAGAGAGAGAACAACUCAGUAAAAUGAAGACUGACAAUGAGAAAGAGAAAGAAAUGAUUUUAAUUGAAAAGGACAGAAUAGAAGUCCAAUGCUCUGAACUGAAGAUGAGACAAGAUCAACUCGUAAAUGAAAUGAAAUCAAUACAAACUCUGAGAAGGAAGCUUCAACAGCUUAACGAAAGGAUCAUUGAAGACAUGAAAAACAAAAUGGACAAUUUGCAACAAAGGUCUGAAGAUGUGCAAAUGCUGUACACUGUAUUGGAAGAAAAGGUGGCAGACCUUGAUGGUGAAAAAAGAAAAAUGGCUUAUUACACUGAGUUGUUAGAGAGAGAAAAGGAAGUUAUUGCAGGUAUACUGUCAGAUGUGGUCACCCAAAGACAGGACAUGGAAAAUCAGUGUAAGCAAGGGUUUGAGUUGGAAAAACAAGAUCUUGAAAAACUGAAAGCAGUGCUGAAGCAAGAGAGAGAGGAUCUGGAUAGAGUGCAUGAGAUCAUGACCAAAGAGAGACUGGAGCUAGAAACCAGUAAGAACAGUGUCCUUACAGAAAGAGGAGAACUGGAAGUUUUGGGGAAGGAUCUCAAAAAGAAGAAAGAAGAGGUCGACAUUGCCAUGAACAGCAUCAGUGGAGAGAGAGAACAACUCAGUAAAAUGAAGACUGACAAUGACAAAGAGAGAGAAGUACUUUUGAUUGAAAGCGACAGAAUAGAAGUUGAAAGGUCUGAGGUGAAAAUAAAAGAAGAUCAAGUCAUGAAGCAAAUGAAAUCAAUGGAAACUAUGAAAGUGAAGCUUCAGCGGCUGUACAAUAGGAUCAGUGAAGACAUGAAAAACAAAGUGGACAGUUUGCAACAAAACUGUGAAGGUGCGCAAAUUCUGUAUGCUACAUUGGAACAAAAGGUUGCAGCACUUGAUGGAGAAAAAGAAAAAUUGACUAAUUACACUGAGUUGUUAGAGAGAGAAAAGGAAGGUAUUGCAGGUAUACUGUCAGAUGUGGUCACCCAAAGACAGGACAUGGAGAAUCAGUGUAAGCAAGGGUUUGAGUUGGAAAAACAAGAUCUUGAAAAACUGAAAGCAGUGCUGAAGCAAGAGAGGGAGGAUCUGGAUAGAGUGCAUGAGAUCAUGACCCAAGAGAGACUGGAGCUAGGAACCAGUAAGAACAGUGUCCUUACAGAAAGAGGAGAACUGGAAGUUUUGGGGAAGGAUCUCAAAAAGAAGAAAGAAGAGGUUGACAUUGCCAUGAACAGCAUCAGUGGAGAGAGAGAACAACUCAGUAAAAUGAAGACUGACAAUGACAAAGAGAGAGAACAACUCAGUAAAAUGAAGACUGACAAUGAGAAAGAGAAAGAAAUGAUUUUAAUUGAAAAGGACAGAAUAGAAGUCCAAUGCUCUGAACUGAAGAUGAGACAAGAUCAACUCGUAAAUGAAAUGAAAUCAAUACAAACUCUGAGAAGGAAGCUUCAACAGCUUAACGAAAGGAUCAUUGAAGACAUGAAAAACAAAAUGGACAAUUUGCAACAAAGGUCUGAAGAUGUGCAAAUGCUGUACACUGUAUUGGAAGAAAAGGUUGCAGACCUUGAUGGUGAAAAAGAAAAAAUGGCUUAUUACACUGAGUUGUUAGAGAGAGAAAAGGAAGUUAUUGCAGGUAUACUGUCAGAUGUGGUCACCCAAAGACAGGACAUGGAAAAUCAGUGUAAGCAAGGGUUUGAGUUGGAAAAACAAGAUCUUGAAAAACUGAAAGCAGUGCUGAAGCAAGAGAGAGAGGAUCUGGAUAGAGUGCAUGAGAUCAUGACCAAAGAGAGACUGGAGCUAGAAACCAGUAAGAACAGUGUCCUUACAGAAAGAGGAGAACUGGAAGUUUUGGGGAAGGAUCUCAAAAAGAAGAAAGAAGAGGUCGACAUUGCCAUGAACAGCAUCAGUGGAGAGAGAGAACAACUCAGUAAAAUGAAGACUGACAAUGACAAAGAGAGAGAAAUACUUUUGAUUGAAAGCGACAGAAUAGAAGUUGAAAGGUCUGAGGUGAAAAUAAAAGAAGAUCAAGUCAUGAAGCAAAUGAAAUCAAUGGAAACUAUGAAAGUGAAGCUUCAGCGGCUGUACAAUAGGAUCAGUGAAGACAUGAAAAACAAAGUGGACAGUUUGCAACAAAACUGUGAAGGUGCGCAAAUUCUGUAUGCUACAUUGGAACAAAAGGUUGCAGCACUUGAUGGAGAAAAAGAAAAAUUGACUAAUUACACUGAGUUGUUAGAGAGAGAAAAGGAAGGUAUUGCAGGUAUACUGUCAGAUGUGGUCACCCAAAGACAGGACAUGGAGAAUCAGUGUAAGCAAGGGUUUGAGUUGGAAAAACAAGAUCUUGAAAAACUGAAAGCAGUGCUGAAGCAAGAGAGAGAGGAUCUGGAUAGAGUGCAUGAGAUCAUGACCAAAGAAAGAUUGGACUUAGAGCUGAUGAGAUCUGAAAUUCAGGAACAAAGUAAAUUAUUAGAAAAGGAGAAAAAGGAGAUAAAAGAGGGAAGACACAAGUUGGACAGCACAAAAGCUGAGCUAGAAAAGAAGAAAGAACAUGCAGACAGUCUGUUUGAUGAGAUAGACACAGAGAAGGCCAACAUUAAACAUCUGACCCUUCAAGUUCAGACAAAAAGAAACCAACUUGAACAUGUCAUGAACAUGAUAACCUUAAAACAACAAGAACAAGAACUCAAGGAAGAUGAGUUAACAAAACGAAAACAAGAACUGGUAAUGAAUAAGAACACUGUGCUAACAGAAAGAGGAGAGCUGGAUGUUUUGAGGAAGGAUCUGAACAAAAAGAAAGAAGAGGUUGAAGCUGCCAUGAACAGCAUCACUAGAGAGCUGGAUGUUUUGAGGAAGGAUCUGAACAAAAAGAAAGAAGAGGUUGAAGCUGCCAUGAACAGCAUCACUAGAGAGAGAGAACAACUCAGUAAAAUGAAGACUGACAAUGAGAAAGAGAAAGAAAUGAUUUUAAUUGAAAAGGACAGAAUAGAAGUCCAAUGCUCUGAACUGAAGAUGAGACAAGAUCAACUCGUAAAUGAAAUGAAAUCAAUACAAACUCUGAGAAGGAAGCUUCAACAGCUUAACGAAAGGAUCAUUGAAGACAUGAAAAACAAAAUGGACAAUUUGCAACAAAGGUCUGAAGAUGUGCAAAUGCUGUACACUGUAUUGGAAGAAAAGGUGGCAGACCUUGAUGGUGAAAAAGAAAAAAUGGCUUAUUACACUGAGUUGUUAGAGAGAGAAAAGGAAGUUAUUGCAGGUAUACUGUCAGAUGUGGUCACCCAAAGACAGGACAUGGAAAAUCAGUGUAAGCAAGGGUUUGAGUUGGAAAAACAAGAUCUUGAAAAACUGAAAGCAGUGCUGAAGCAAGAGAGAGAGGAUCUGGAUAGAGUGCAUGAGAUCAUGACCAAAGAGAGACUGGAGCUAGAAACCAGUAAGAACAGUGUCCUUACAGAAAGAGGAGAACUGGAAGUUUUGGGGAAGGAUCUCAAAAAGAAGAAAGAAGAGGUCGACAUUGCCAUGAACAGCAUCAGUGGAGAGAGAGAACAACUCAGUAAAAUGAAGACUGACAAUGACAAAGAGAGAGAAGUACUUUUGAUUGAAAGCGACAGAAUAGAAGUUGAAAGGUCUGAGGUGAAAAUAAAAGAAGAUCAAGUCAUGAAGCAAAUGAAAUCAAUGGAAACUAUGAAAGUGAAGCUUCAGCGGCUGUACAAUAGGAUCAGUGAAGACAUGAAAAACAAAGUGGACAGUUUGCAACAAAACUGUGAAGGUGCGCAAAUUCUGUAUGCUACAUUGGAACAAAAGGUUGCAGCACUUGAUGGAGAAAAAGAAAAAUUGACUAAUUACACUGAGUUGUUAGAGAGAGAAAAGGAAGGUAUUGCAGGUAUACUGUCAGAUGUGGUCACCCAAAGACAGGACAUGGAGAAUCAGUGUAAGCAAGGGUUUGAGUUGGAAAAACAAGAUCUUGAAAAACUGAAAGCAGUGCUGAAGCAAGAGAGAGAGGAUCUGGAUAGAGUGCAUGAGAUCAUGACCCAAGAGAGACUGGAGCUAGGAACCAGUAAGAACAGUGUCCUUACAGAAAGAGGAGAACUGGAAGUUUUGGGGAAGGAUCUCAAAAAGAAGAAAGAAGAGAUUGACAUUGCCAUGAACAGCAUCAGUGGAGAGAGAGAACAACUCAGUAAAAUGAAGACUGACAAUGACAAAGAGAGAGAAGUACUUUUGAUUGAAAGCGACAGAAUAGAAGUUGAAAGGUCUGAGGUGAAAAUAAAAGAAGAUCAAGUCAUGAAGCAAAUGAAAUCAAUGGAAACUAUGAAAGUGAAGCUUCAGCGGCUGUACAAUAGGAUCAGUGAAGACAUGAAAAACAAAGUGGACAGUUUGCAACAAAACUGUGAAGGUGCGCAAAUUCUGUAUGCUACAUUGGAACAAAAGGUUGCAGCACUUGAUGGAGAAAAAGAAAAAUUGACUAAUUACACUGAGUUGUUAGAGAGAGAAAAGGAAGGUAUUGCAGGUAUACUGUCAGAUGUGGUCACCCAGAGACAGGGCAUGGAAAAUCAGUGUAAGCAAGGGUUUGAGUUGGAAAAACAAGAUCUUGAAAAACUGAAAGCAGUGCUGAAGCAAGAGAGAGAGGAUCUGGACAGAGUGAAUGAGAUCAUGACCAAAGAAAGAUUGGACUUAGAGCUGAUGAGAUCUGAAAUUCAGGAACAAAGUAAAUUAUUAGAAAAGGAGAAAAAGGAGAUAAAAGAGGGAAGACACAAGUUGGACAGCACAAAAGCUGAGCUAGAAAAGAAGAAAGAACAUGCAGACAGUCUGUUUGAUGAGAUAGACACAGAGAAGGCCAACAUUAAACAUCUGACCCUUCAAGUUCAGACAAAAAGAAACCAACUUGAACAUGUCAUGAACAUGAUAACCUUAAAACAACAAGAACAAGAACUCAAGGAAGAUGAGUUAACAAAACGAAAACAAGAACUGGUAAUGAAUAAGAACACUGUGCUAACAGAAAGAGGAGAGCUGGAUGUUUUGAGGAAGGAUCUGAACAAAAAGAAAGAAGAGGUUGAAGCUGCCAUGAACAGCAUCACUAGAGAGAGAGAACAACUCAGUAAAAUGAAGACUGACAAUGAGAAAGAGAAAGAAAUGAUUUUAAUUGAAAAGGACAGAAUAGAAGUCCAAUGCUCUGAACUGAAGAUGAGACAAGAUCAACUCGUAAAUGAAAUGAAAUCAAUACAAACUCUGAGAAGGAAGCUUCAACAGCUUAACGAAAGGAUCAUUGAAGACAUGAAAAACAAAAUGGACAAUUUGCAACAAAGGUCUGAAGAUGUGCAAAUGCUGUACACUGUAUUGGAAGAAAAGGUGGCAGACCUUGAUGGUGAAAAAGAAAAAAUGGCUUAUUACACUGAGUUGUUAGAGAGAGAAAAGGAAGUUAUUGCAGGUAUACUGUCAGAUGUGGUCACCCAAAGACAGGACAUGGAAAAUCAGUGUAAGCAAGGGUUUGAGUUGGAAAAACAAGAUCUUGAAAAACUGAAAGCAGUGCUGAAGCAAGAGAGAGAGGAUCUGGAUAGAGUGCAUGAGAUCAUGACCAAAGAGAGACUGGAGCUAGAAACCAGUAAGAACAGUGUCCUUACAGAAAGAGGAGAACUGGAAGUUUUGGGGAAGGAUCUCAAAAAGAAGAAAGAAGAGGUCGACAUUGCCAUGAACAGCAUCAGUGGAGAGAGAGAACAACUCAGUAAAAUGAAGACUGACAAUGACAAAGAGAGAGAAAUACUUUUGAUUGAAAGCGACAGAAUAGAAGUUGAAAGGUCUGAGGUGAAAAUAAAAGAAGAUCAAGUCAUGAAGCAAAUGAAAUCAAUGGAAACUAUGAAAGUGAAGCUUCAGCGGCUGUACAAUAGGAUCAGUGAAGACAUGAAAAACAAAAUGGACAGUUUGCAACAAAACUGUGAAGGUGCGCAAAUUCUGUAUGCUACAUUGGAACAAAAGGUUGCAGCACUUGAUGGAGAAAAAGAAAAAUUGACUAAUUACACUGAGUUGUUAGAGAGACAAAAGGAAGGUAUUGCAGGUAUACUGUCAGAUGUGGUCACCCAAAGACAGGACAUGGAGAAUCAGUGUAAGCAAGGGUUUGAGUUGGAAAAACAAGAUCUUGAAAAACUGAAAGCAGUGCUGAAGCAAGAGAGAGAGGAUCUGGAUAGAGUGCAUGAGAUCAUGACCAAAGAGAGACUGGAGCUAGAAACCAGUAAGAACAGUGUCCUUACAGAAAGAGGAGAACUGGAAGUUUUGGGGAAGGAUCUCAAAAAGAAGAAAGAAGAGGUCGACAUUGCCAUGAACAGCAUCAGUGGAGAGAGAGAACAACUCAGUAAAAUGAAGACUGACAAUGAGAAAGAGAAAGAAAUGAUUUUAAUUGAAAAGGACAGAAUAGAAGUCCAAUUCUCUGAACUGAAGAUGAGACAAGAUCAACUCGUAAAUGAAAUGAAAUCAAUACAAACUCUGAGAAGGAAGCUUCAACAGCUUAACGAAAGGAUCAUUGAAGACAUGAAAAACAAAAUGGACAAUUUGCAACAAAGGUCUGAAGAUGUGCAAAUGCUGUACACUGUAUUGGAAGAAAAGGUGGCAGACCUUGAUGGUGAAAAAGAAAAAAUGGCUUAUUACACUGAGUUGUUAGAGAGAGAAAAGGAAGGUAUUGCAGGUAUACUGUCAGAUGUGGUCACCCAAAGACAGGACAUGGAGAAUCAGUGUAAGCAAGGGUUUGAGUUGGAAAAACAAGAUCUUGAAAAACUGAAAGCAGUGCUGAAGCAAGAGAGAGAGGAUCUGGAUAGAGUGCAUGAGAUCAUGACCAAAGAGAGACUGGAGCUAGAAACCAGUAAGAACAGUGUCCUUACAGAAAGAGGAGAACUGGAAGUUUUGGGGAAGGAUCUCAAAAAGAAGAAAGAAGAGGUCGACAUUGCCAUGAACAGCAUCAGUGGAGAGAGAGAACAACUCAGUAAAAUGAAGACUGACAAUGACAAAGAGAGAGAAGUACUUUUGAUUGAAAGCGACAGAAUAGAAGUUGAAAGGUCUGAGGUGAAAAUAAAAGAAGAUCAAGUCAUGAAGCAAAUGAAAUCAAUGGAAACUAUGAAAGUGAAGCUUCAGCGGCUGUACAAUAGGAUCAGUGAAGACAUGAAAAACAAAGUGGACAGUUUGCAACAAAACUGUGAAGGUGCGCAAAUUCUGUAUGCUACAUUGGAACAAAAGGUUGCAGCACUUGAUGGAGAAAAAGAAAAAUUGACUAAUUACACUGAGUUGUUAGAGAGAGAAAAGGAAGGUAUUGCAGGUAUACUGUCAGAUGUGGUCACCCAAAGACAGGACAUGGAGAAUCAGUGUAAGCAAGGGUUUGAGUUGGAAAAACAAGAUCUUGAAAAACUGAAAGCAGUGCUGAAGCAAGAGAGAGAGGAUCUGGAUAGAGUGCAUGAGAUCAUGACCCAAGAGAGACUGGAGCUAGAAACCAGUAAGAACAGUGUCCUUACAGAAAGAGGAGAACUGGAAGUUUUGGGGAAGGAUCUCAAAAAAGAAGAAAGAAGAGGUUGA
This 11250-nucleotide long non-coding RNA is filed under the name Dicentrarchus labrax (European seabass). RNAcentral describes it as "lncRNA (ENSDLAG00005034983.1)". The record is from RNAcentral. Lineage: Eukaryota; Metazoa; Chordata; Actinopteri; Moronidae.